CCGAUCAAGAUGUCCCCAUUUCUCCUAGCCAAGGGAUAGACAUGUGACCCAAGUGAUACCAUCAGAUGCUUUUCUCUCCUUGAAAUUUGGAGCUCAUGUGAAAUGCAGAAAAAGAUGGAGAAAGCAGUUUGUGAUGAUUAAUCCCAGCUGGCCGUGACUGUCCAUUAGUUUCUCCUCUCCCCAGAGAUACUUUGGCUCAUGACUUCUUCAGGACUGAUCCUAAGACUGUGUAAAGGUGUCCUAUAUUCUCCAAUCCUCUUAUGCAUUCCUAUGUGCUUGAUAGGCCGAGCUGAUUUCUGUUUCUUGCACCUAAGGAAUCCUAACUGAUACAAGUUCUACCCAUGAUUGCACAUUUAGCUUCUACUUCAGUCUCCUAAAGCCCCCAGGGACAAAACAAGAAGUCAGAUCACACUGCUGGAGAGACCACAUGGAGAAUAUUGAGAAUAUGUGGAGAGAGACAGAAGAAUCUAGCUGAGCCCAGCCUUCCAAUUGUCCACAGCAAGACAUAAUGAAUGGAAGUAAAACCACCUUGGAUCAGGUGAAAACUAGACAGGUAGUGAAUUAGAACACAGACACUGGAGCCCAAUUGCCGGGGACCAGACUUCAGCUCUGCCAUUUACUGUGGGAUGACCUCGAGCAAAUUUUUUCACAUCUUAGUGUUGUUGGGGUUUUCUCAUCAGAAGUAUGAGGGUAUAAUAGUCUUCACCUUAUAGAAUUGUUGUGUGUAUAAGUUAAUAAAUAUCUAGAUAAAUACAUGUGUGUAUACAUGUACAUGUAUGUCUAUGUACACACAUACAUAUGUGUGUAUUAGAAUGAUAGCCCUAAGCAUUAAAUAUCAUUUAUAAGUUCUAAUUCUCACUGUGUUUCCUUGUCUCUAUUCCUUGUCUUUUUCGCUUCUACUUAUCACAUUUCUCUGGAAAGUAACUGACAUAAAAAUUUUAUUAUCUGAGCAAGUCAGUAGAAUUCAACACUCCCAUUAUUAAUUUUAAAAGAUGAGUAGAUUGUAG
This 1007-nucleotide long non-coding RNA is filed under the name Homo sapiens (human). RNAcentral describes it as "HSALNT0336812". Lineage: Eukaryota; Metazoa; Chordata; Mammalia; Primates; Hominidae. The record is from RNAcentral.